GAUGAAGAACGCAGUGAAAUGCGAUAAGUAAUGUGAAUUGCAGAAUUCAGUGAAUCAUCGAAUCUUUGAACGCACAUUGCGCCCGCCAGUAUUCUGGCGGGCAUGUCUGUCCGAGCGUCAUUUCAACCCUCAAGCCCCCGGGCUUGGUGUUGGAGAUCGGCGAGCCCCCCGGGGCGCGCCGUCUCCCAAAUAUAGUGGCGGUCCCGCUGUAGCUUCCUCUGCGUAGUAGCACACCUCGCACUGGGAAACAGCGUGGCCACGCCGUAAAACCCCCCACUUCUGAAAGGUUGACCUCGGAUCAGGUAGGAAUACCCGCUGAACUUAAGCAUAUCAAUAAGCGGAGGA
RNAcentral lists this unclassified non-coding RNA (345 nucleotides) under soil metagenome. Its description in RNAcentral is "partial contains 5.8S ribosomal RNA, internal transcribed spacer 2, and large subunit ribosomal RNA". The stretch from base 1 to 120 matches the Rfam family "5.8S ribosomal RNA", at positions 35 to 154 of the family's 154-position model. The record is from RNAcentral.